RNAcentral lists this small nuclear RNA (19 nucleotides) under Arabidopsis thaliana (thale cress). RNAcentral describes it as "snRNA_06097". The record is from RNAcentral. Lineage: Eukaryota; Viridiplantae; Streptophyta; Magnoliopsida; Brassicales; Brassicaceae.
AGACUUUUUUAACUGCGAU